Molecule: ribosomal RNA, 254 nt
Filed under: uncultured bacterium
Lineage: Bacteria
Description: partial 16S ribosomal RNA
Rfam family: Bacterial small subunit ribosomal RNA
Source: RNAcentral
UACGUAGGUGGCAAGCGUUGUCCGGAAUUAUUGGGCGUAAAGAGCUCGUAGGCGGUCUGUCGCGUCGGUCGUGAAAACUUGGGGCUUAACCCUGAGCUUGCGGUCGAUACGGGCAUGACUGGAGUUCGGCAGGGGAGACUGGAAUUCCUGGUGUAGCGGUGAAAUGCGCAGAUAUCAGGAGGAACACCGGUGGCGAAGGCGGGUCUCUGGGCCGAUACUGACGCUGAGGAGCGAAAGCGUGGGGAGCGAACAGG